RNAcentral lists this ribosomal RNA (419 nucleotides) under uncultured bacterium. RNAcentral describes it as "partial 16S ribosomal RNA". It matches the Rfam family "Bacterial small subunit ribosomal RNA", at positions 361 to 772 of the family's 1533-position model. The record is from RNAcentral.
AUAUUGGACAAUGGGGGCAACCCUGAUCCAGCCAUGCCGCGUGUGUGAAGAAGGUCUUCGGAUUGUAAAGCACUAUAAGUUGGGAGGAAGGGCGUUAGGUUAAUACCCUGAAGUUUGGACGUUACCAACGGAAUAAGCACCGGCUAACGCUGUUCCGGCAGCCGCGGUAAUAGGGAGGGUGCAAGCGUUAAUCGGAAUUACCGGGAGUAAAGCGCGAGUAGGUGGUUCAGUAAGAUGGGUGUGAAAUCCCCGGGCUUAACCUGGGAACUGCUUUCAUAACUGCUGAGCUAGAGUACGGUAGAGGGUAGUGGAAUUUCCUGUGUAGCGGUGAAAUGCGUAGAUAUAGGAAGGAACACCAGUGGCGAAGGCGACUACCUGGACUGAUACUGACACUGAGGUGCGAAAGCGUGGGGAGCAAA